This 460-nucleotide ribosomal RNA is filed under the name uncultured bacterium. RNAcentral describes it as "partial 16S ribosomal RNA". It matches the Rfam family "Bacterial small subunit ribosomal RNA", at positions 338 to 795 of the family's 1533-position model. The record is from RNAcentral.
CCUACGGGAGGCUGCAGUGAGGAAUAUUGGUCAAUGGGCGCGAGCCUGAACCAGCCAAGUAGCGUGAAGGAUGACUGCCCUACGGGUUGUAAACUUCUUUUAUAAAGGAAUAAAGUGAGUUACGUGUGCCUUUUUGUAUGUACUUUAUGAAUAAGGAUCGGCUAACUCCGUGCCAGCAGCCGCGGUAAUACGGAGGAUCCGAGCGUUAUCCGGAUUUAUUGGGUUUAAAGGGAGCGUAGAUGGGUUGUUAAGUCAGUGGUGAAAGAUUGCUGCUCAACCGUAAAAUUGCAAUUGAUACUGGCAGUCUAGAGAACAGUUGAGGUAGGCGGAAUGCGUGGUGUAGCGGUGAAAUGCUUAGAUAUCACGAAGAACACCGAUUGCGAAGGCAGCUUACUAAACUGCAACUGACAUUGAUGCACGAAAGUGUGGGGAUCGAACAGGAUUAGAUACCCUAGUAGUC